Salvia splendens (bonfire salvia) is the source of this 468-nucleotide long non-coding RNA. RefSeq lists it as uncharacterized. The record is from RefSeq and is a predicted model, not a curated record. The transcript is spliced from 5 exons. Lineage: Eukaryota; Viridiplantae; Streptophyta; Magnoliopsida; Lamiales; Lamiaceae.
GAUUGUUUGCCGCAAACCCGACCCGAAUAUCCAGAUCGCUCAUCAAAUUAUCUCUCUCUUCACGCUUUACUGUGUGUUCUAGUGAAUCCAGAUUUACACAUUGCGCUAAAUCACGAACUUCAAUCAAGUAGCCUGAACGAUAAUCCGAGAUCUCGUUCUAAAAUUUGUCGUCUAUGAUAGGGCAUGGCGAUUAAGAGGGCAUCACAAUCCGGCGGAGGCAAGAGUAAAGGCGUUGGAUCUCGUGUAUUAGCUUCCAUCUUCGUCUUUUUCCUCACAUUCCUCGUCUUCUCCUUUCUAUUCGUCGGCCGCGGCCUUUCGUCACCGCCUCUUCCGGUCACAAUGAAUUAUCAAUACUGUCCAGCAGACAGGAUUUAGAUUGGAGAGGGAGGCUGGCAUUGCAUCAUCUUAAUUCUUUAUUCUCGAAAGAUGUAAUUGACGUUAUUAAUGCCAGUGCAAAUGAUUUGGGGC